AGCCAGGAGGAAAGGUUAGUAGUUAAUACCUGCUCGCGGUGACGUUACUGACAGAAGAAGCACCGGCUAACUCCGUGCCAGCAGCCGCGGUAAUACGGAGGGUGCGAGCGUUAAUCGGAAUUACUGGGCGUAAAGCGUACGCAGGCGGUUUGUUAAGCGAGAUGUGAAAGCCCCGGGCUCAACCUGGGAACUGCAUUUCGAACUGGCAAACUAGAGUGUGAUAGAGGGUGGUAGAAUUUCAGGUGUAGCGGUGAAAUGCGUAGAGAUCUGAAGGAUUACCGAUGGCGAAGGCAGCCACGUGGGUCAACACUGACGCUCAUGUCCGAAAGCGUGGGGAGCACACAGGA
This 347-nucleotide ribosomal RNA is filed under the name Pseudoalteromonas sp. S1691. RNAcentral describes it as "bacterial SSU rRNA". It matches the Rfam family "Bacterial small subunit ribosomal RNA", at positions 438 to 777 of the family's 1533-position model. Lineage: Bacteria; Pseudomonadati; Pseudomonadota; Gammaproteobacteria; Alteromonadales; Pseudoalteromonadaceae. The record is from RNAcentral.